Molecule: transfer RNA, 73 nt
Filed under: Heliconius melpomene (postman butterfly)
Lineage: Eukaryota; Metazoa; Arthropoda; Insecta; Lepidoptera; Nymphalidae
Description: tRNA HMEL012114
Rfam family: tRNA
About the family: Transfer RNA (tRNA) molecules are approximately 80 nucleotides in length. Their secondary structure includes four short double-helical elements and three loops (D, anti-codon, and T loops).
Source: RNAcentral
GAACGUAUGGCUUAGUUAGUCAGAAUACUUGGACGCUUUUGAAGAGGCGCGGGUUCAAAUCCCGCUACGUGCA